RNAcentral lists this ribosomal RNA (465 nucleotides) under uncultured bacterium. RNAcentral describes it as "partial 16S ribosomal RNA". It matches the Rfam family "Bacterial small subunit ribosomal RNA", at positions 28 to 507 of the family's 1533-position model. The record is from RNAcentral.
GACGAACGCUGGCGGCGUGCUUAACACAUGCAAGUCGAACGGCAAGGCCCUGCUUGCAGGGUACUCGAGUGGCGAACGGGUGAGUAACACAUGGGUGCUCUGCCCUUCACUUCGGGAUAAGCCUGGGAAACUGGGUCUAAUCCCCGAUAGGAGCCAUUUUUAGUGUGAUGGUUGGAAAGUUUUUUCGGUGUAGGAUGAGCUCGCGGCCUAUCAGCUUGUUGGUGGGGUAAUGGCCUACCAAGGCGGCGACGGGUAGCCGGCCUGAGAGGGUGGACGGCCACAGUGGGACUGAGAGAAGGCACAGACGCGGAAGGGAGGAAGAAGGGGGGAAGAUUGCACAAGGGGUGCAAGGCUGAGGCAGCGAGGCCGCGUGGGGGAUGACGGCAUUCGGGUUGGAAAAUCCUUUUGCGAGGGAAGAAGCGGGUUGUGACGGUACCUAGAUAAGAAGCACCGGCUAACUACGUG